RNAcentral lists this transfer RNA (71 nucleotides) under Takydromus sexlineatus (Asian grass lizard). RNAcentral describes it as "tRNA-Ile". Lineage: Eukaryota; Metazoa; Chordata; Lepidosauria; Squamata; Lacertidae. The record is from RNAcentral.
GGAUGUGUGCCCGAGAACUUAGGGAUUACUUUGAUAGAGUAAACAACAGGGAUUCAACCCCCUCACCUCCU